Molecule: ribosomal RNA, 253 nt
Filed under: uncultured bacterium
Lineage: Bacteria
Description: partial 16S ribosomal RNA
Rfam family: Bacterial small subunit ribosomal RNA
Source: RNAcentral
GACAGAGGGGGCAAGCGUUGCUCGGAAUUACUGGGCGUAAAGGGCGCGUAGGCGGGAUGGCAAGUCGGUCGUGAAAUCCUUCGGCUCAACCGAAGAACGUCGGCCGAUACUGCCGUUCUUGAGGGAUGCAGAGGAGAUUGGAAUUCCCGGUGUAGCGGUGAAAUGUGUAGAGAUCGGGAGGAACACCGGUGGCGAAGGCGGGUCCCUGGGCAUCUCCUGACGCUGAGGCGCGAAAGCGUGGGGAGCAAACGGG